AUGAAACAGAAAAGGGCAGGAUGGGAGGUGCAAACAGAUGGGGUGAUGGGCUUGAGGAUGAUGGGGCGGAGGCCUAAUGGAUUUUUACAAAACUAUUGGGCUCGGGUUAGUGUUGUUAGGCCCAGGAUGGUAAGGGAGCACAAAGAAAAUCCUGGAGAUGUUUUUAACAAUGCCAGCCGCUCAAACCCUUCUAUUCAUCCACGUUUUUUUUCUCUUAUAAUUUCCUCUGUUUCUCAACCUUCUGGAAAAUAUUUUCUCUCUUCAUCAUUCAAUAUAACAACAAUACUAUCUACUUUUCAUCCAUUCGAAUCUAUCACGGUGCGGCUCCACCUUCCCAUUCCAUGUCGCGACUCUUCCACAAAAACUCAAACACUCACACAAAAUCGUGAGCUUUGGCGAUGA
Molecule: non-coding RNA, 402 nt
Organism: Vicia faba (fava bean)
Lineage: Eukaryota; Viridiplantae; Streptophyta; Magnoliopsida; Fabales; Fabaceae
Source: the annotation of a GenBank genome assembly